This 249-nucleotide long non-coding RNA is filed under the name Ananas comosus (pineapple). RNAcentral's name for it is "long non-coding RNA (ACOM_LNC026592)". Lineage: Eukaryota; Viridiplantae; Streptophyta; Magnoliopsida; Poales; Bromeliaceae. The record is from RNAcentral.
AGGACCGAGCGAGCCGGCGAGCGACCAAGGUAAAGGUAUCGCGCCUUAGACAGAGGCUACCAGAGUUAAGUUGGGUUUACAUUUUGUUAGUAGAGUACCCUAUGUUCAUCUUUUGUAUUUGAUGACUAGUGAUGUAAGGAAAAUAAUGUAAUGUGUUAUUUGAGGUAAAUGUGAUGUAAAAAGAAAUGAUGGAAGCAAUGUAAUGUAAUGAAAUGCAAGGAAUCAAGAAUGAAAAGGGAUACAUGUAUG